Molecule: small nuclear RNA, 126 nt
Organism: Rhincodon typus (whale shark)
Lineage: Eukaryota; Metazoa; Chordata; Chondrichthyes; Orectolobiformes; Rhincodontidae
Source: RefSeq, a predicted model, not a curated record
AUUUAUUAUGAAUGGAGAUAAAUUUAUCAUUUCCCUUGAUGAGAAUGGAAGGAAGGUAGUGGCCGUACAAUGAACAAAAGAUUAAGGUAUUUCCAUUUACUUAGUGGCAUCUAACCUAUAUCUUUG